This 336-nucleotide ribosomal RNA is filed under the name Triticum aestivum (bread wheat). RNAcentral's name for it is "partial small subunit ribosomal RNA". Lineage: Eukaryota; Viridiplantae; Streptophyta; Magnoliopsida; Poales; Poaceae. The record is from RNAcentral.
AUGGACACAAAGGCGUGCAUCUCGCUUGUAAUCCUCGCGCUCGUGCUCGCCGGCCCGGACACGAGGGCUGCGGCGCUCGCCGGCAUCGACGCCGCGGCGGCGGUUAUGCCAACGUCGUCGUCGUCUUCUUCCCGCAUAAAGCUUGAGGACGGCGUGGCGCCGGAGCUCCUGGAUUCGACCACGGUGGACCUGGAGGGGCACCGCCGCGUCCUCGCCGGCAGAGGCAUCAGCGCGAGUUCCCUGAACCCCAACAAGGCAGCCUGUACCAGGACGUGCCCGGCGCGCGGAGGGGCCUACACCGGCCGGGCAUGCCUCAGAAGAUACCAGUGCCGUUAG